This 370-nucleotide ribosomal RNA is filed under the name uncultured bacterium. RNAcentral describes it as "bacterial SSU rRNA". It matches the Rfam family "Bacterial small subunit ribosomal RNA", at positions 335 to 704 of the family's 1533-position model. The record is from RNAcentral.
ACUCCUACGGGAGGCAGCAGUGGGAAUAUUGCACAAUGGGGAAACCCUGAUGCAGCCAUGCCGCGUGUGUGAAGAAGGCCUUCGGUUGUAAAGCACUUUCAGUAGGGAGGAAGGUAGUGUAGUUAACACCUGCAUAUUUGACGUUACCUACAGAAGAAGCACCGGCUAACUCCGUGCCAGCAGCCGCGGUAAUACGGAGGUGCGAGCGUUAAUCGGAAUUACUGGGCGUAAAGCGCAUGCAGGCGGCCUGUUAAGUCAGAUGUGAAAGCCCGGGGCUUAACCUCGGAAUUGCAUUUGAAACUGGCAGGCUAGAGUCUUGUAGAGGGGGUAGAAUUUCAGGUGUAGCGUGAAAUGCGUAGAGAUCUGAAGG